This 1684-nucleotide long non-coding RNA is filed under the name Rattus norvegicus (Norway rat). Its description in RNAcentral is "long non-coding RNA NONRATT013060". Lineage: Eukaryota; Metazoa; Chordata; Mammalia; Rodentia; Muridae. The record is from RNAcentral.
CACAGUUUCUUGACUAUAGACUUGAUUUAAACAGCAAAUAUAAUUUGCUGGAGAAUAAACACACAUUCCUGUAAAUUCUGCUUUACUUUUUCACUGGAAAAAGAAAGGAGUUAAGAUUAAAUGAAGUUAAGUUAAAAUACAGUGAGAUCCUGAAGGAUAUAGAGGUGCUCUCAUGCCUUAAUGCUCAGGGGAGACCAGCUGUUGGAGAUAGCUCUUCUCUUCUGUGUCUCUCUCCAUGGUCUUUACCUGGGAUAGCUCCAACUUGGUUUUCCCCUUGCUUCAGGGGAUUUUGCUGCUUAGCUGAGCUUCAAGGCAGAACUUGGUGAGUUUUGAUUUUGCAUAUUACUGCUGCUUUAGGGACUGCAAUCUAGGGGCCAUGUUUUAAGCUUAAGCUUAAAUAUAUAUAUUCUUAGUUCACUAUAGGUAUUUAAUAAGUUAAAUAAAUAUAUAUGUACAUAGAACAAAUACUGUCUGCCUUCCUGCUAUAUUUUUUUAGUUAUGUUGAUAUAAAAUUGGACAGUUUUUUCAGAAUGGUAACACUGGAUCAUUAUUUUGAGGCUGGCCUGCCUAGUCUAUGUAGUAAUACUCUGCCUCAAAAAAGGUAAAAUUGAGCAGGUUUUAUGGGUGAUGAGUAAAUUAAUUCUAAGAGCAGUGAGAGAAAGUGUGUGUGUCUUCAGUGAUAAAGAAACUGAGACCCACCUGGGGCUUAAGCCAGAUGGGGAGUUAAGUUAGAAGCCAGUGGGAAUCAGAUAGAGCACACGCUUUCCUUAAAUACUGUUUCUGUCUUAUAAACCACUAUGUCCUGGCCUUCACUGGAGGGAAUAUCUCAAGACUAAGCCUUGGAGACAUGAAUGGUCUUCUAAAAAGCAAGCCACAGAUGGUGCGUAUCCUUGUCAACAGAAGGAAACAGGAAGCAUAGCCUGCAGCAGAACUGGGGAAAUUACUUAGCUUAGGGCUAGAACUCCUCAGCUCCAUGAACAGAAAGAAAAUUCUAGCCCAUAAUAGGACUAACAAUUCAGCCUUACUGAAUGCAGAGCACAGAGCAUCUCUAGAAUGCCCUCCCGGAAGCAAGCUGCCUGAGCUCCAUUAGAGAUGAGGAAGUCAAUGAGGCAUGUGCUCACACUGCUGAUGACUUUACCAAGCCAUACCCCAUGCUACUUGUUAGAGCUUCUUACUGAGUUUGUACACGUCAAGGCCACAGAUCCUCUGGUGCCACUUUUACUAGAAACUUCUUCAGUAAGCAAUACAAAAAUUAACUACUUUUACUGAUGGUGUGUCAUUAGAAGCUGCUUUGUGUGUACUCUGCUGCAGGGUGAGCUAUGCCCAUGCCAGGAUUUGUUCCAAAAACCAUGUAGAGUUCUCCAAGAACCUGUUUAUACAAAGAAGUGCCCUCCAACUUGUCUGACUGGAUGGCAUUCGGGGUUUAUAGGUCCUAGUAAACCAUCUUGUAUCCUUUUGUGAUUUGUUUGGGCACAAGGGACUUUAUUCCUUUUGAGAACUUUUGUUUAUAAAUAGAUUCAAAUGUGCAAUCAAAAACUGUCAUCUCAAAAUAAAUACAGUUUUGACAAAAAUGUUAACUAUGACUUCAUCUUAUAUGUAAUACUUUCUUGAUGUUGGUGUUGAUCCGUGUUGUAAUGGAACCUGGAAUUCUGCUCCAAGUCUAAACCAUGACACCACCUUCGCC